ACCUUUACAUUUUGUUUCUUUCCAGAAUUACUCUAUAAGUUUCUAAAAGAACUUAUUGUAGAAAGCUUCAGCGAAGAAGGUUCUCAAUGUUUAGUGAGUACUUAUGUUUGUACCAGCUUACUGCUCAAGAAGCUAACGAAGGUCCUAACAACAAGGGCAAAAGACCUGCUAAGUAGAUCACUAUACUAGAUUUUCUGAGUGUUGAUUGAAGGA
Gossypium arboreum is the source of this 213-nucleotide long non-coding RNA. RefSeq lists it as uncharacterized. The transcript has 3 exons. The record is from RefSeq and is a predicted model, not a curated record. Lineage: Eukaryota; Viridiplantae; Streptophyta; Magnoliopsida; Malvales; Malvaceae.